GUAGGUGGCAAGCGUUGUCCGGAAUUAUUGGGCGUAAAGCGCGCGCAGGCGGUUCCUUAAGUCUGAUGUGAAAGCCCACGGCUCAACCGUGGAGGGUCAUUGGAAACUGGGGGACUUGAGUGCAGAAGAGGAGAGCGGAAUUCCACGUGUAGCGGUGAAAUGCGUAGAGAUGUGGAGGAACACCAGUGGCGAAGGCGGCUCUCUGGUCUGUAACUGACGCUGAGGCGCGAAAGCGUGGGGAGCAAACAGGAUUAGAUACCCUGGUAGUCCACGCCGUAAACGAUGAGUGCUAAGUGUUAGAGGGUAUCCACCCUUUAGUGCUGUAGCUAACGCAUUAAGCACUCCGCCUGGGGAGU
This 356-nucleotide ribosomal RNA is filed under the name uncultured bacterium. RNAcentral's name for it is "bacterial SSU rRNA". It matches the Rfam family "Bacterial small subunit ribosomal RNA", at positions 527 to 881 of the family's 1533-position model. The record is from RNAcentral.